GAAGAAGUGAUUCUAAAAUAAUGCUAUGUAACUUUUUCCUUUAGUUUUCAGAGUUAAGUGGAGUUCCUGUUGAUGCCAUUUCUGUUGCAACAUAUUUGAGAUCAUUUCCAGCUGAGAUAUCACGUCUUGAUAUUAAGAAUGAGUUGGAAUGGAAUCAAGCAUCACUGUAUGAUGCUGAUGGAGAUGUCAUAUAUUACAAAGACAAUAGAGAACAAUUGAAGGAGAUCACAACCGAAGAGAGAGAGGAAUUUAAAAUGACAGAAAGCAAAAGGUUAUAGUGUUGCUGUUUAUGGUAUUGGGUCAUUGUAUGAUGUUCCAGGAGACAAAGAGAAUGUACAUUUAGUGGCAAAGUGUGUAUAUGUGGCUUGUAGGCUGUCUCCCCUCUUCAGCUAUUGGUGACAUUAUUUUUAGAUCCAAUUGUGGUUGCAUUGUCUUUUUGAGCUUUGCAUG
Molecule: long non-coding RNA, 450 nt
Organism: Amphimedon queenslandica
Lineage: Eukaryota; Metazoa; Porifera; Demospongiae; Haplosclerida; Niphatidae
Exons: 4
Source: RefSeq, a predicted model, not a curated record